GAUUAACGCUGGCGGCGUGCAUAACACAUGCCAGUCGAACGAUGAAGAUUAUUAGACUUCUUCGGAACGAAAAUAAUUGGAUUAGUGGCGGACGGGUGAGUAACGCGUGAGUAACCUGCCUUACACAAGGGGAUAGCCGUUGGAAACGACGAAUAAUACCCUAUGAAACUAUCACUUCGCAUGAAGCGAUAGUCAAAGUGUUAGCGGUGUAAGAUGGACUUGCGUCUGAUUAGCUAGUUGGUGAGAAAAAAGCCCACCAAGGCAACGAUCAGUAGCCGGCUUGAGAGAGUGUACGGCCACAUUGGGACUGAGACACGGCCCAGACUCCUACGGGAGGCAGCAGUGGGGAAUUUUGCACAAUGGGGGAAACCCUGAUGCAGCGACGCCGCGUGAUUUAGAAGGCCUUCGGGUUGUAAAAAUCUUUUGUAUAGGAAGAAAAUGACAGUACUAUACGAAUAAGGUCCGGCUAAUUACGUG
Molecule: ribosomal RNA, 477 nt
Filed under: uncultured bacterium
Lineage: Bacteria
Description: partial 16S ribosomal RNA
Rfam family: Bacterial small subunit ribosomal RNA
Source: RNAcentral